GGUUCCGUAGCUCAGUAGGCAGAGCGUGUGGCUGUUAACCACAAAGUCGCAGGUUCGAUCCCUGCCGGUACCG
Transfer RNA from Gregarina niphandrodes, 73 nucleotides. It matches the Rfam family "tRNA". From Rfam's summary of the family: Transfer RNA (tRNA) molecules are approximately 80 nucleotides in length. Their secondary structure includes four short double-helical elements and three loops (D, anti-codon, and T loops). The record is from Rfam. NCBI's taxonomy places the organism in Eukaryota, Apicomplexa, Conoidasida, Eugregarinorida, Gregarinidae.